This 629-nucleotide ribosomal RNA is filed under the name Bacillus zhangzhouensis. RNAcentral describes it as "bacterial SSU rRNA". It matches the Rfam family "Bacterial small subunit ribosomal RNA", at positions 741 to 1370 of the family's 1533-position model. The record is from RNAcentral. Lineage: Bacteria; Bacillati; Bacillota; Bacilli; Caryophanales; Bacillaceae.
UGACGCUGAGGAGCGAAAGCGUGGGGAGCGAACAGGAUUAGAUACCCUGGUAGUCCACGCCGUAAACGAUGAGUGCUAAGUGUUAGGGGGUUUCCGCCCCUUAGUGCUGCAGCUAACGCAUUAAGCACUCCGCCUGGGGAGUACGGUCGCAAGACUGAAACUCAAAGGAAUUGACGGGGGCCCGCACAAGCGGUGGAGCAUGUGGUUUAAUUCGAAGCAACGCGAAGAACCUUACCAGGUCUUGACAUCCUCUGACAACCCUAGAGAUAGGGCUUUCCCUUCGGGGACAGAGUGACAGGUGGUGCAUGGUUGUCGUCAGCUCGUGUCGUGAGAUGUUGGGUUAAGUCCCGCAACGAGCGCAACCCUUGAUCUUAGUUGCCAGCAUUUAGUUGGGCACUCUAAGGUGACUGCCGGUGACAAACCGGAGGAAGGUGGGGAUGACGUCAAAUCAUCAUGCCCCUUAUGACCUGGGCUACACACGUGCUACAAUGGACAGAACAAAGGGCUGCGAGACCGCAAGGUUUAGCCAAUCCCAUAAAUCUGUUCUCAGUUCGGAUCGCAGUCUGCAACUCGACUGCGUGAAGCUGGAAUCGCUAGUAAUCGCGGAUCAGCAUGCCGCGGUGAAUACG